AGUGAACGCUGGCGGUGGGCCUAACACAUGCAAGUCGAACGGCAGCACAGUAAGAGCUUGCUCUUACGGGUGGCGAGUGGCGGACGGGUGAGGAAUACAUCGGAAUCUACUUUUUCGUGGGGGAUAACGUAGGGAAACUUACGCUAAUACCGCAUACGACCUACGGGUGAAAGCAGGGGAUCUUCGGACCUUUCGCGAUUGAAUGAGCCGAUGACGGAUUAGCUAGUUGGCUGGGUAAAGGCCCACCAAGGCGACGAUCCGUAGCUGGUCUGAGAGGAUGAUCAGCCACACUGGAACUGAGACACGGUCCAGACUCCUACGGGAGGCAGCAGUGGGGAAUAUUGGGCAAUGGGCGAAAGCCUGAUCCAGCAAUGCCGCGUGAGUGAAGAAGGCCUUCGGGUUGUAAAACCCUUUUGUUGGGAAAGAAAAGCAGCAGGUUAAUACCCCGCUGUUCUGACGGUACCCAAAGAAUAAGCACCGGCUAACUUCGUG
Molecule: ribosomal RNA, 492 nt
Filed under: uncultured bacterium
Lineage: Bacteria
Description: partial 16S ribosomal RNA
Rfam family: Bacterial small subunit ribosomal RNA
Source: RNAcentral